GGUUGUGGCUCAGUGGUAGAGUGUUCACCUGGCAUGCAUGAGGGACUGGGUUCAAUCCUCAGCACCA
RNAcentral lists this transfer RNA (67 nucleotides) under Marmota monax (woodchuck). RNAcentral's name for it is "tRNA.Ala". The record is from RNAcentral. Lineage: Eukaryota; Metazoa; Chordata; Mammalia; Rodentia; Sciuridae.